This 747-nucleotide long non-coding RNA is filed under the name Cyanistes caeruleus (blue tit). RNAcentral's name for it is "lncRNA (ENSCCEG00000022710.1)". The record is from RNAcentral. Lineage: Eukaryota; Metazoa; Chordata; Aves; Passeriformes; Paridae.
GGAUUUCAGUGCCCAGCUCUACUGGGACACUCAGCUGCUGAACGACUUCUUAAUGGGUGCCUUUGUCAUUGUCCUCAAGGCUUCCAUCACUGCUUCUGGAUGGUGACUUCAUAUUGCAGUCAUUAUGCAAAAUUCCUUCUUGAUAUGGUUAAAGUGGUUCAUUAGAGAGAGGCAAGGUGAGAGUGUGUUCACCACAUGCCUGCUGCUUUUACAAAUGAGGUAAAAAUGAAUUUCUUGUGAUGCUGAGUACUGAGUUUGGUGUGGAGUCAAAUAAACUCUGCUCUCUGACCCUUGCUAAGAGCUGAGACAUCCAAUGGCCUGGCUCAUGCUGGCCUCAGGGACUCCAGUUAUCCCUCUCUGUGUCCUAGUGAUGGGAAGGAUCUGAUCAUCAACUGUGGGAACAAAAAACAGUAACUAAUGUUUAUUUUCUACUUAGGCUGAGCUCCUGCAAGCUAAUUUACACCUUUAUUCUUCACUUGCUUUCCUGGCAGCAGGAUCUGCAUAUAAAGCUCCUUCCUCUGCACUGCUUUCACCCACAAGUCUGAUUGAAUUGCACAUUGCAGAAUGCAGUGUGUGGAGGGCAUGCACAGCACCAGUGUGAGCAGGUGUCCCCCAUGUUGGAUGAGCUGGUGCAGCUGCAGAGAUUUGCAUCUUUUCCAUUUGUAUGGAAUGUACCUGUUGCUGCCAUCUCCCUAUAACAGAGGGCUAUCUCUUCGGUAUCCUCAGGAUUUGCAGGGAGGAAAGUGA